RNAcentral lists this ribosomal RNA (468 nucleotides) under uncultured bacterium. Its description in RNAcentral is "partial 16S ribosomal RNA". It matches the Rfam family "Bacterial small subunit ribosomal RNA", at positions 28 to 507 of the family's 1533-position model. The record is from RNAcentral.
GACGAACGCUGGCGGCGUGCUUAACACAUGCAAGUCGAACGGAAAGGCCCUGCUUUUGUUGGGUUCUCGAGUGGCGAACGGGUGAGUAACACGUGAGUAACCUGCCCUUGACUUUGGGAUAACUUCAGGAGACUGGGGCUAAUACCGGAUAGGAGCUCCUGCUGCAUGGUGUUGGUUGGAAAGUUUCGGCGGUCGGGGAUGGACUCGCGGCUUAUCCGCUUGUUUGUGUGGUAGUGGCUUACCAAGGCUUUGACGGGUAGCCGGCCUGAGAGGGUGACCGGGCACCUUGGGACUGAGAUACGGACCAGACGGCUACGGGAGGCAGCAGUGGGGAAUAUUGCACAAUGGGCGGAAGCCUGAUGCAGCAACGCCGCGUGCGGGAUGACGGCCUUCGGGUUGUAAACCGCUGUCGCAUGUGACGAAGCGGGAGUGACGGUAAUGGGUCAAGAAGCAACGGCUAACUACGUG